RNAcentral lists this long non-coding RNA (974 nucleotides) under Homo sapiens (human). RNAcentral describes it as "non-protein coding lnc-OR4D9-7:1". Lineage: Eukaryota; Metazoa; Chordata; Mammalia; Primates; Hominidae. The record is from RNAcentral.
AUGGAAGAGGAAAACCAGAGGGGAGUGGUACACUUCCACUUCCACUUCUUUUCAACAGACCUGGUGGUGGCUUCCUUUAUAAUUGUGGCCUUGAUGUUGCACCAAGAAGCCUUGUUGGACACUUCACCUUUGGGCCCACAGUCUGGCAAGAUCCCUUCCUCCAUAUUCCAAUGUAUUUAUUUUUAUUUUUUUGGCAUUGACUAUGUUGGAAAUUGGCUACUCCACCAACAUUUCUCCUCCAACACUGGCUACCGUCCUUUACAUGGGGAAGAUGCUUAUCUCCCUCCCUGGCUAUGGAACUCAGAUGCUCUUUGUCAUCCUUUUGAGAGGAUCUGAGUGUGUCUUGCUUGCUGUCAUGGCUUAUGAUAGGUAUAUAACCAUCUGUCAUCCAUUCAAUUACAAUCUCAUCAUGAGUGGGUAGCUCUGUGGGCAGAUGACUUUGGGCUCUUUGAGGCUGGGAUUCCUGUUGUCACUGUUUUUGACUAUGUUGAUCUGACACCCUCCAUUCUGUGGCCUAAUGAAACCUACCACUUCUUCUGUGACAUGCCCACAGCAAGUGCCUGGUCUGUGCAGACACCACAUGCAUGAGUCAGCUCUCUGACUUCCGUGUGGCCACCAUCACCAUCCCCUUCCUUCCUCCUUGUCUGCCUCCCCUAUGGCUGCCUUGCAGCCACCAUCUUGAGGAUGCAUUCAGCUAAGAGAAAGCACUAGGCCUUCUCUACCAGUUCCUCCCACCUCAUUGUGGUUCUCCUGAAGUAUUGGUGUUGCAUCCUCAUCUGCCUUUGCCCCAGCUCUAGUUACUCCCCAGAGGAGGGCUGGGAGGUAUCUCUUGUUCACAUGUUUUUCUCCCGGUGUGGAAUCCCUUGAUCUAUAGCGUAUGGAACCAAGACGUAACUGAUGCAGUAGAGAGACUUGUGGCAAGAAUGUCCUUGUUCUAACAGCCAGAAAUAUUCCUUCUUAAAAAAUAUUUCCCU